This 195-nucleotide ribosomal RNA is filed under the name uncultured bacterium. RNAcentral describes it as "partial 16S ribosomal RNA". It matches the Rfam family "Bacterial small subunit ribosomal RNA", at positions 335 to 527 of the family's 1533-position model. The record is from RNAcentral.
AGUCUACGGGAGGCAGCAGUGAGGAAUAUUGGUCAAUGGACGUAAGUCUGAACCAGCCAAGUAGCGUGCAGGAUGACAGCCCUAUGGGUUUUAAACUGCUUUUAUGCGGGGAUAAAGUCAGCCACGUGUGGUUGUUUGCAGGUACCGCAUGAAUAAGGACCGGCUAAUUCCGUGCCAGCAGCCGCGGUAAUGACU